This is a long non-coding RNA of Rhododendron vialii, 1637 nucleotides long. RefSeq lists it as uncharacterized. The transcript is spliced from 2 exons. The record is from RefSeq and is a predicted model, not a curated record. NCBI's taxonomy places the organism in Eukaryota, Viridiplantae, Streptophyta, Magnoliopsida, Ericales, Ericaceae.
AAAAAAAAGGGGAAGGAAUGCCAGAAAACGGAUUCGACUCAAGUAGUUUUAAGAGAAUUCACAGGGUAAGUCUUCAUAUUUUGCCUCAGUUAAAACGUGUCAUAGAUGAUGCAGUGAAAGCAACCCUUGAUCAUUAGAAAAAUCAUUUGGUGAAAGUGAAGUGAUGCCCAUAAACAUUUAAUUUCAACCAAAUUAAGCAAUGGUUUGGUACUUCAUUCAAAUCCUUGACCGCAACGACAAGAGUAGUAAUUCGAGCACUGGAAUUGCCUUGUUCUCCAAAACUAAGCCUACACUCGCGACAUAAAUCCUGCUAACAGACAGCUGGCCUUAUUUUGUUAACCAAUAGCUACUAACCAUUUUGCUUUCUAAACAAUUUUCCUUUCCUAAUAUCGAACAAUUUUUUUUUAUAGUUUCUCUAGCAUCUAGUCCAUUUUUGCAUAAAGAGUCUUCGAUUAUAUUCAUUAAUUCAUGUUUAAGGAUCCAAACCCUUUAAUAAACAUGUAGAAAGGCCCCCAACGGAAUCGCUUGUCUAUUUAGCCUUUUUAUCUAUAUCUACUUAGUAUGGGUCCUUGGUUCUGAUUGGCAUUGAAUUCAAACUGGUUUCUGUUUUUGAAUUCCACCAGAGGAAUGUGUAAUGAGAACCGGAUAAAAUAACAGACUCAACACUUAAAGUUGUUACUGAUCGAAUGCUUCUUGUAACACCCCAUCCCUAAAUUGGUGGGCACUCGCCAUGAAGGCAACGCAAACACUCACUUAAUCACUUAUAUCCUACAAAACCAUUCUAAAUCGGCUUUUUAGUACUUCCUAUUUCUUGUGAAUCCACAUAUGUUCUGGCAAUACCAUGAAAAAUAACGCGAACUGGGGAUGCUUUUCAGGAACAGGUCCUGAUAUUCUAACCGCAUAUCAUACCUUAUCCCAAGCUUAAAAAGAAUAUAUACUUACGACAUAUCUAGCCAUCUGUGUAUUCUUCAGAAUAGGAAUCUAAUAAUAUCCGCAACAUCUCUAUGCAAAGCAUUUUUGUUUUUUUUUUCUUUUUGAAAAGCAAAGCAUUUGAUAUAGCAUCUUUCAAAAAUGACCUCCACUUAAUUUAUUAUAUUCCCUCAAAGGGACUUUCUGUCUGUUUCAUCAUCUACAACGGGCAAUGGUUCUUAUUCCAUGUCAUGACCCGAAAUAUACUAUAAAUUAAUGUGUUUUGAUGGUACUAAUACUUGAGGCCAGAAAAUUCGAAACUCUUUACUCUCUUUAACUUUCUGUGAAGAGGAAAUCAAAAAAUGGCAUCAAUGAAACCUGAAAAAUCUGGUUGCUGUGCACAAGAUGGACAGUGCAAGAAAGAGCCUGUGAAAGCUCCAGUCUCCCCUCCGGCCGCUAAGGCUCCAACUUCCACUCCGGGCCCUAAGAAGGUUGAGCAGAAGCCUCAGGAGCCCAAGAAGAAGGUAUUGGGUACCAAACCAGCAACUCCUGCCAAGAAGAUCUAAACAGAACAUUGACAAGUAAGGAAUUUAGCGCGUGAUGCGUUAGAUUCUAUGAAGCCGCAUAUUCAGUUGCAGUUAUGUUUAUCACUAGUUGGCUUGUGAUCUAUAUCUAUGUAGCCCUUCUCAGGCUCAGACUAAAUAAAUAAAAUAUAGAUAAUUAAAGGA